RNAcentral lists this ribosomal RNA (675 nucleotides) under Pedobacter sp. RNAcentral's name for it is "bacterial SSU rRNA". It matches the Rfam family "Bacterial small subunit ribosomal RNA", at positions 89 to 762 of the family's 1533-position model. The record is from RNAcentral. Lineage: Bacteria; Pseudomonadati; Bacteroidota; Sphingobacteriia; Sphingobacteriales; Sphingobacteriaceae.
GGGAAAGUGGCGCACGGGUGCGUAACGCGUAUGCAACCUACCUCAAUCAGGGGGAUANCCCGAAGAAAUUCGGAUUAACACCGCAUAAAAUCACAGGAUAGCAUUAUCUAAUGAUCAAAUAUUUAUAGGAUUGAGAUGGGCAUGCGUGUCAUUAGUUAGUUGGCGAGGUAACGGCUCACCAAGACCACGAUGACUAGGGGAUCUGAGAGGAUGACCCCCCACACUGGUACUGAGACACGGACCAGACUCCUACGGGAGGCAGCAGUAAGGAAUAUUGGUCAAUGGAGGCAACUCUGAACCAGCCAUGCCGCGUGCAGGAAGACAGCCCUCUGGGUCGUAAACUGCUUUUAUUCGGGAAUAAACCUACUUACGUGUAAGUAGCUGAAUGUACCGAAGGAAUAAGGAUCGGCUAACUCCGUGCCAGCAGCCGCGGUAAUACGGAGGAUCCAAGCGUUAUCCGGAUUUAUUGGGUUUAAAGGGUGCGUAGGCGGCUUAUUAAGUCAGGGGUGAAAGACGGUGGCUCAACCAUCGCAGUGCCCUUGAUACUGAUGAGCUUGAAUACACUAGAGGUAGGCGGAAUGUGACAAGUAGCGGUGAAAUGCAUAGAUAUGUCACAGAACACCGAUUGCGAAGGCAGCUUACUAUGGUGUNAUUGACGCUGAGGCACGAAAGCGU